UCCAUGUGAUGGCGUAUAAUCCAAGCAUCAGAUUUCAUCGGGUGUUGGGAAAAUAGAAUCUGCUUGUGUUCCUCGAUAUACAGAGCCACAAAGGAUGAUUGUUUCAGAACCAUGAAGUGUACUUUAUGUUACAAAUCACUAUCAUUGCUCAAACCUGAUUUCCUUCCAAGGGUGCCCUUUCCCCGUAGCCUCCCCUCGUGGUGUGAUACCGGAACCCCAAUCGAAUUAAUUGAGUCAAUAAAAUCAACACAAAACUCAAUGACCUCCUCUGUUCCAUAUCCCUUGGCAAUGUUCCUUCU
Molecule: long non-coding RNA, 299 nt
Filed under: Setaria viridis
Lineage: Eukaryota; Viridiplantae; Streptophyta; Magnoliopsida; Poales; Poaceae
Description: long non-coding RNA (SVIR_LNC006444)
Source: RNAcentral